CGGAGGAUCCAAGCGUUGUCCGGAUUUAUUGGGUUUAAAGGGUGCGUAGGCGGAUCUUUAAGUCAGUGGUGAAAGCCUGCAGCUCAACUGUAGAACAGCCAUUGAAACUGAAGAUCUUGAAUAUGGUUAAAGUAGGCGGAAUGUAUCAUGUAGCGGUGAAAUGCUUAGAUAUGAUACAGAACACCGAUAGCGAAGGCAGCUUGCUGAACCAUUAUUGACGCUGAGGCACGAAAGCGUGGGGAGCAAACAGGAUUAGAUACCCUGGUAGUCCACGCCCUAAACGUUGAUUACUCGUUGUUGGCGAUAUACUGUCAGCGACUAAGCUAAAGCGUUAAGUAAUCCACCUGGGAAGUACGACCGCAAGGUUG
RNAcentral lists this ribosomal RNA (368 nucleotides) under uncultured organism. RNAcentral's name for it is "bacterial SSU rRNA". It matches the Rfam family "Bacterial small subunit ribosomal RNA", at positions 526 to 896 of the family's 1533-position model. The record is from RNAcentral.